Molecule: long non-coding RNA, 1316 nt
Organism: Quercus robur (English oak)
Lineage: Eukaryota; Viridiplantae; Streptophyta; Magnoliopsida; Fagales; Fagaceae
Exons: 3
Source: RefSeq, a predicted model, not a curated record
ACACACACACACUCUCUCUCUCUCUCUCUCUCUCUCUCUCGACACUUCGAAAAUCUCCACUGUCUCCCAUGUCAGCCAAAACCCAUCUCAGUCUCCAAACCUCGCUGCAACAACCAUCUCACCAAAUACUCCCACCUCUUCUCUGCCAAAUACGUCCCUUUCAACCAUCUCACCAAACCUCCGACGAGUCCUACUCCGUCGACAAAAUCGUGUACCGCUAAACGUCCAGCAUGAUAUCGCCGCUCUCGAAAUCAUGUAGCUAUAGCUCCAGAGAGAGCCAUUGGCCCAAUCAGACGAGCGAAAGGAGGUUGGAUUGCACAGGAGGUGGUGAACGAUCUGAAGGGUAUCUUAUGCAAUUUUAUUCUUUCAAGCCAAGUGGGUAUUGAGAGAGGAGAAUUGUCUAGGAGUGAUGAGAAAAAAUAUAAAGCAGUGAAGUGGGCAACUGAAAGGGAGAUUUCUCAAAGUGCUGAUGUCAUUUGUUGCACGUGUUGGUGCUGGAGAUCCUUGAUUGGCAAAUUUUAGGUUCCACCAGAUUGAAAUGCAUCAAACUUGUGAAAGUUUGUCCAGGACUCACUAGUUUAAAAGCUUACUCUUUUUAACUUUUUGUUUUGAGAAAGCACCGACAAAAGUCAACAGUAAAAUCUUGCAUUUUUCGAAAAAACGUAGGCUUGCGACUAGCUACUACUGAAUUUUAUUUCUACUUGCUGCCAUGCUCAGCGAAGGACGAGUUUAGAAGUAGUUUGCAAAUCCCAAUAAUAGCAGAGUGCAUAGUUUGGAAGUUAAGGGAAAAAAGGUAUCGAUUUGUGUGUUGCUUUGUAUUGAGGGUAAUGGCAAAGAAAGCUUAGUUGCUGAAGGACUUUUAAGGUUGAAGUGGAAGCAAUUUGGUGAUUGCUGAAAGAGCUUAUAGGUGUUUUGAUUGUCCCACCUUGCACGUUAGAGGUUUUGCCUAGUGUUUUCAUAUUUUUAUUUUAACUUUAAUAUCAUUGCUUUCAUGUCUACUUUGAUGAUUUUGAAUUGUUAUAGGCGUGGAUAAUAGAAAAAAUACAAUGAUUAGCAUUGGUAGACACAUACUAAUAUGUCAAUAUAAUUAAUUUAAAAUUUUGGAUAAACACUUCAAUUGAAACUUAGUUGAAACAGAAGUUAUAGAUCCAGUAUGUAUUCUGUGAAUGCCUAUUUCUGUUUAAUUUGUGUGACAAAUUGGUUAGUAGGUAGUCUUGCUGAGUGAACUAGCUUCAUGAGAAACAUGAGAGAGGAGGGGCUGAUCUCAGGGAUCUCCACUGUGAAGGUGGUGAUGGCCGGUGAGAAGCUGAGCUCUU